GUACUACUCCCUCCGUUCGAAAUUACUUGUCGCGAAAAUGGAUGUAUCUAAACGUAUUUUAGUUCUAAAUACAUCCAUUUUAAAGACAAGUAAUUCCGAACGAAGGGAGUAGUAG
Triticum aestivum (bread wheat) is the source of this 115-nucleotide non-coding RNA. The record is from Rfam. Lineage: Eukaryota; Viridiplantae; Streptophyta; Magnoliopsida; Poales; Poaceae.